This 253-nucleotide ribosomal RNA is filed under the name uncultured bacterium. Its description in RNAcentral is "partial 16S ribosomal RNA". It matches the Rfam family "Bacterial small subunit ribosomal RNA", at positions 524 to 776 of the family's 1533-position model. The record is from RNAcentral.
GACGGAGGGUGCGAGCGUUAUUCGGAGUUAUUGGGCGUAAAGGGUACGUAGGCGGCUGGUCAAGUCUGGGGUUAAAGACCAGAGCUAAACUGGGGGGGUGCAUUGGAAACUGACAGGCUGGAGUAGGGGAGAGGUUGCGGGAAGUCCCGGUGUAGCGGUGAAAUUCGUAGAGAUCGGGAAGAAUACCAGUGGCGAAAGCGCCCAACUGGACCCUAACUGACGCUGAGGUACGAAAGCGAGGGGAGCAAACGGG